This 510-nucleotide ribosomal RNA is filed under the name uncultured bacterium. RNAcentral describes it as "partial 16S ribosomal RNA". It matches the Rfam family "Bacterial small subunit ribosomal RNA", at positions 28 to 507 of the family's 1533-position model. The record is from RNAcentral.
GACGAACGCUGGCGGCGUGCUUAACACAUGCAAGUCGAACGAAGAGCGAUGGAAGCUUGCUUUUAUCAAUCUUAGUGGCGAACGGGUGAGUAACGCGUAAUCAACCUGCCCUUCAGAGGGGGACAACAGUUGGAAACGACUGCUAAUACCGCAUACGAUCUAAUCUCGGCAUCGAGGAUAGAUGAAAGGUGGCCUCUACAUGUAAGCUAUCACUGAAGGAGGGGAUUGCGUCUGAUUAGCUAGUUGGAGGGGUAACGGCCCACCAAGGCGAUGAUCAGUAGCCGGUCUGAGAGGAUGAACGGCCACAUUGGGACUGAGACACGGCCCAGACUCCUACGGGAGGCAGCAGUGGGGAAUCUUCCGCAAUGGACGAAAGUCUGACGGAGCAACGCCGCGUGAGUGAUGACGGCCUUCGGGUUGUAAAGCUCUGUUAAUCGGGACGAAAGGCCUUCUUGCGAAUAGUGAGAAGGAUUGACGGUACCGGAAGAGAAAGCCACGGCUAACUACGUG